UACGGAGGAUGCAAGCGUUAUCCGGAUUCAUUGGGUUUAAAGGGUGCGUAGGCGGGCUAUUAAGUCAGUGGUGAAAUCCUGCAGCUUAACUGCAGAACUGCCGUUGAUACUGAUAGUCUUGAGUUUGGUUAAGGUAGGCGGAGUGUGUAAUGUAGCGGUGAAAUGCUUAGAUAUUACACAGAACACCAAUUGCGUAGGCAGCUUACUGAGCCGACACUGACGCUGAGGCACGAAAGCAUGGGUAGCGAACA
Molecule: ribosomal RNA, 251 nt
Filed under: uncultured prokaryote
Description: partial 16S ribosomal RNA
Rfam family: Bacterial small subunit ribosomal RNA
Source: RNAcentral